This 465-nucleotide ribosomal RNA is filed under the name uncultured bacterium. RNAcentral's name for it is "bacterial SSU rRNA". It matches the Rfam family "Bacterial small subunit ribosomal RNA", at positions 335 to 793 of the family's 1533-position model. The record is from RNAcentral.
ACUCCUACGGGAGGCAGCAGUGGGGAAUAUUGCACAAUGGGCGCAAGCCUGAUGCAGCCAUGCCGCGUGUAUGAAGAAGGCCUUCGGGUUGUAAAGUACUUUCAGCAGUGAGGAAGGUGGAUAUGUUAAUAGCAUAUUCAUUUGACGUUAGCUGCAGAAGAAGCACCGGCUAACUCCGUGCCAGCAGCCGCGGUAAUACGGAGGGUGCGAGCGUUAAUCGGAAUUACUGGGCGUAAAGCGCAUGCAGGUGGUUUGUUAAGUCAGAUGUGAAAGUCCGGGGCUCAACCUCGGAAUUGCAUUUGAAACUGGCAAACUAGAGUACUGUAGAGGGGGUAGAAUUUCAGGUGUAGCGGUGAAAUGCGUAGAGAUCUGAAGGAAUACCAGUGGCGAAGGCGGCCCCCUGGACAGAUACUGACACUCAGAUGCGAAAGCGUGGGGAGCAAACAGGAUUAGAUACCCUGGUAG